AGUGAACGCUGGCGGUAGGCCUAACACAUGCAAGUCGAACGGCAGCACAGUAAGAGCUUGCUCUUACGGGUGGCGAGUGGCGGACGGGUGAGGAAUACAUCGGAAUCUACUUUUUCGUGGGGGAUAACGUAGGGAAACUUACGCUAAUACCGCAUACGACCUACGGGUGAAAGCAGUGGAUCUUCGGACCUUGCGCGAUUGAAUGAGCCGAUGUCGGAUUAGCUAGUUGGCGGGGUAAAGGCCCACCAAGGCGACGAUCCGUAGCUGGUCUGAGAGGAUGAUCAGCCACACUGGAACUGAGACGCGGUCCAGACUCCAACGGGAGGCAGCAGUGGGGAAUAUUGGACAAUGGGCGCAAGCCUGAUCCAGCCAUACCGCGUGGGUGAAGAAGGCCUUCGGGUUGUAAAGCCCUUUUGUUGGGAAAGAAAAGCAGCAGGUUAAUACCCCGCUGUUCUGACGGUACCCAAAGAAUAAGCACGGGCUAGCUUCGUG
This 492-nucleotide ribosomal RNA is filed under the name uncultured bacterium. RNAcentral describes it as "partial 16S ribosomal RNA". It matches the Rfam family "Bacterial small subunit ribosomal RNA", at positions 29 to 507 of the family's 1533-position model. The record is from RNAcentral.